ACACGCAUGACACACUGCAUAUCAAUAAGCGGAGGAAAAGAAACUAACAAGGAUUCCCUUAGUAACGGCGAGUGAAGCGGGAAGAGCUCAAAUUUGAAAUCUUCAGGGUUCUACCUUGACGAAUUGUAGUUUAUAGAAGUGUUUUCUGUUAGUAGAGUGGCAAAAGUUCUUGGAAUAGGACAUCAUAGAGGGUGAGAAUCCCGUAUUUGGUCAUUCUUUCUAGCUUUGUGAUACACUUUCAACGAGUCGGAUUGUUUGGGAAUGCAGUCCAAAAUGGGUGGUAAAUUUCAUCUAAAGCUAAAUAUUGGCGAGAGACCGAUAGCGAACAAGUACCGUGAGGGAAAGAUGAAAAGAACUUUGAAAAGAGAGUUAAACAGUACGUGAAAUUGUCAAAAGGGAAGCGUUUGACACCAGUGUUGUUUUUCCGAAAAUCAAUUAAGAAUGUUUUGUUUUUGAGGAGUUAUGACUUCAUCGGCUUGCUCCUUUCUUUAUGGAACUUUCUUAAUGCACUUUUCGGUUAACAAGUCAACAUCAAUUUCUUUUGUUGUAAAAGAGUAUGAGGAAGGUGGCUUUCUUUUCGGAGAAAGUGUUUAUAGCCUUGUACUUCUGCAAUCGGAGAGAUUGAGGUCUGCAGCGUAGAUCCUUCGGGUUAGAUACACUUGUGCUAAGUUAUAGCUUUUCAUAGACAACUUGUUGAUUAUGUUAAGUCUUGUAGCUUACUCGCUUGUGCUAUUUUACCUACGCUUAGGAUGUUGAUCUGAGUGCGUGCGC
RNAcentral lists this ribosomal RNA (771 nucleotides) under uncultured Neocallimastigales. Its description in RNAcentral is "partial large subunit ribosomal RNA". It matches the Rfam family "Eukaryotic large subunit ribosomal RNA", at positions 23 to 642 of the family's 3401-position model. The record is from RNAcentral. Lineage: Eukaryota; Fungi; Neocallimastigomycota; Neocallimastigomycetes; Neocallimastigales.